RNAcentral lists this ribosomal RNA (437 nucleotides) under uncultured bacterium. RNAcentral describes it as "bacterial SSU rRNA". It matches the Rfam family "Bacterial small subunit ribosomal RNA", at positions 78 to 507 of the family's 1533-position model. The record is from RNAcentral.
GCUUGCAACCGAUGAUGGCGACCGGCGCACGGGUGAGUAACGCGUAUCCAACCUGCCCUUCACCACGGAAUAAUCCAGUGAAAAUUGGUCUAAUACCGUAUGAGGUCAUACGAUGGCAUCAGAAUAUGACGAAAGAUUCAUCGGUGACGGAUGGGGAUGCGUCUGAUUAGCUUGUUGGCGGGUAACGGCCCACCAAGGCGACGAUCAGUAGGGGUUCUGAGAGGAAGGUCCCCCCACAUUGGAACUGAGACACGGUCCAAACUCCUACGGGAGGCAGCAGUGAGGAAUAUUGGGUCAAUGGGCGGGAGCCUGAACCAGCCAAGUAGCGUGCAGGAAGACGGCCCUAUGGGUUGUAAACUGCUUUUGUGCGGGGAUAAAGUGUGCGACGUGUCGGCUCAUUGCAGGUACCGCACGAAUAAGGACCGGCUAAUUCCGUG